CAUAUAAGACAAUGAAUAUCUCGAAAAGAAGAUAAAUACCAUUGCUUCUGAUAAAAAUAGAUAUUAAUCAAGAAUUUAAUGUGAAAGAAGUCUUAGACUUGAGGCGGUGCCAACUUAGGUUGGAAUAUCUUAUUCAUUGGUGUAGAUAUGAUAUUAGCAAAUACAUAUGGAACUUAAUAAAAUAUCUUACAAAUACAACAAAGAAGGUCAAAGCUUUUCAUCAACAACAUCCAUCAAAAUUAAGAUGAAAGAAAGCAAAUCUUUACUAUAAAAGAAACACAAUUUAAAAAAGAUUGCAUUCUAUUUUCUAUCCUUGUUUGUAAUUUUUAUAUAAUUGUAUAAUAGUGUUAAAAAAAUAGAAAACAAAUAGCCAAAAAAUUCUACUCAAAAGCCAUUAUUUGCUGACUUAUUGGAUAA
Molecule: long non-coding RNA, 417 nt
Filed under: Physcomitrium patens
Lineage: Eukaryota; Viridiplantae; Streptophyta; Bryopsida; Funariales; Funariaceae
Description: long non-coding RNA (PPAT_LNC005143)
Source: RNAcentral